UAAAUUGCAAAUGAAUUAUGGGGAAACCCAUACGCCGCAAGGCAUUUGUGAAGGUGCUGCAUGGUUGUCGUCAGCUCGUGCCGUGAGGUGUCGGCUUAAGUGCCAUAACGAGCGCAACCCUUAUCUUCAGUUACUAACAGGUCAUGCUGAGGACUCUGGAGAGACUGCCGUCGUAAGAUGUGAGGAAGGUGGGGAUGACGUCAAAUCAGCACGGCCCUUACGUCCGGGGCUACACACGUGUUACAAUGGGGGGUACAGAAGGCCGCUACCUGGUGACAGGAUGCCAAUCCCAAAAACCUCUCUCAGUUCGGAUCGAAGUCUGCAACCCGACUUCGUGAAGCUGGAUUCGCUAGUAAUCGCGCAUCAGCCAUGGCGCGGUGAAUACGUUCCCGGGCCUUGUACACACCGCCCGUCAAGCCAUGAAAGCCGGGGGUACCUGAAGUACGUAACCGCAAGGAGCGUCCUAGGGUAAAACUGGUAAUUGGGGCUAAGUCGUAACAAGGUACCCG
RNAcentral lists this ribosomal RNA (509 nucleotides) under uncultured Bacteroides sp. RNAcentral's name for it is "bacterial SSU rRNA". It matches the Rfam family "Bacterial small subunit ribosomal RNA", at positions 982 to 1502 of the family's 1533-position model. The record is from RNAcentral. Lineage: Bacteria; Pseudomonadati; Bacteroidota; Bacteroidia; Bacteroidales; Bacteroidaceae.